RNAcentral lists this ribosomal RNA (465 nucleotides) under Vreelandella stevensii. Its description in RNAcentral is "partial 16S ribosomal RNA". It matches the Rfam family "Bacterial small subunit ribosomal RNA", at positions 338 to 795 of the family's 1533-position model. The record is from RNAcentral. Lineage: Bacteria; Pseudomonadati; Pseudomonadota; Gammaproteobacteria; Oceanospirillales; Halomonadaceae.
CCUACGGGAGGCAGCAGUGGGGAAUAUUGGACAAUGGGCGAAAGCCUGAUCCAGCCAUGCCGCGUGUGUGAAGAAGGCCUUCGGGUUGUAAAGCACUUUCAGUGGGGAAGAAAGCCUUGGGGCUAAUACCCUCGAGGAAGGACAUCACCCACAGAAGAAGCACCGGCUAACUCCGUGCCAGCAGCCGCGGUAAUACGGAGGGUGCGAGCGUUAAUCGGAAUUACUGGGCGUAAAGCGCGCGUAGGCGGUCUGAUAAGCCGGUUGUGAAAGCCCCGGGCUCAACCUGGGAACGGCAUCCGGAACUGUCAGGCUAGAGUGCAGGAGAGGAAGGUAGAAUUCCCGGUGUAGCGGUGAAAUGCGUAGAGAUCGGGAGGAAUACCAGUGGCGAAGGCAGCCUUCUGGACUGACACUGACGCUGAGGUGCGAAAGCGUGGGUAGCAAACAGGAUUAGAUACCCUGGUAGUC